This 1070-nucleotide ribosomal RNA is filed under the name Veronia pacifica. RNAcentral's name for it is "bacterial SSU rRNA". It matches the Rfam family "Bacterial small subunit ribosomal RNA", at positions 468 to 1533 of the family's 1533-position model. Lineage: Bacteria; Pseudomonadati; Pseudomonadota; Gammaproteobacteria; Vibrionales; Vibrionaceae. The record is from RNAcentral.
UUUGACGUUAGCAGCAGAAGAAGCACCGGCUAACUCCGUGCCAGCAGCCGCGGUAAUACGGAGGGUGCGAGCGUUAAUCGGAAUUACUGGGCGUAAAGCGCAUGCAGGCGGUCUGUUAAGCAAGAUGUGAAAGCCCCGGGCUCAACCUGGGAAAGUCAUUUUGAACUGGCAGGCUAGAGUCUUGUAGAGGGGGGUAGAAUUUCAGGUGUAGCGGUGAAAUGCGUAGAGAUCUGAAGGAAUACCGGUGGCGAAGGCGGCCCCCUGGACAAAGACUGACGCUCAGAUGCGAAAGCGUGGGGAGCAAACAGGAUUAGAUACCCUGGUAGUCCACGCCGUAAACGAUGUCUACUUGGAGGCUGUGACCCAGAGUCGUGGCUUUCGGAGCUAACGCGUUAAGUAGACCGCCUGGGGAGUACGGUCGCAAGAUUAAAACUCAAAUGAAUUGACGGGGGCCCGCACAAGCGGUGGAGCAUGUGGUUUAAUUCGAUGCAACGCGAAGAACCUUACCUACUCUUGACAUCCAGAGAAGCUUGAAGAGAUUCGAGUGUGCCUUCGGGAGCUCUGAGACAGGUGCUGCAUGGCUGUCGUCAGCUCGUGUUGUGAAAUGUUGGGUUAAGUCCCGCAACGAGCGCAACCCUUAUCCUUGUUUGCCAGCACGUCAUGGUGGGAACUCCAGGGAGACUGCCGGUGAUAAACCGGAGGAAGGUGGGGACGACGUCAAGUCAUCAUGGCCCUUACGAGUAGGGCUACACACGUGCUACAAUGGCAUAUACAGAGGGCAGCAAGACCGCGAGGUGGAGCGAAUCCCAGAAAGUAUGUCGUAGUCCGGAUUGGAGUCUGCAACUCGACUCCAUGAAGUCGGAAUCGCUAGUAAUCGUGGAUCAGAAUGCCACGGUGAAUACGUUCCCGGGCCUUGUACACACCGCCCGUCACACCAUGGGAGUGGGCUGCACCAGAAGUAGAUAGCUUAACCUUCGGGAGGGCGUUUACCACGGUGUGGUUCAUGACUGGGGUGAAGUCGUAACAAGGUAGCCCUAGGGGAACCUGGGGCUGGAUCACCUCCUUAACGA